AUGCAUAUAUCUAUACAUAAUCGAAGCCAGGAAAAUUAAAAAAAGUUAUAUUUCAAGUUUCUAAAUUUACUUCUGGGCAUGAGAUAAGUGAUAAUAGCAACUGAUAAAUGCAAGUGAUAAAUGCAACCUGUAAACAGAUUAACAUCAGUCUAAGUCUGUCGGCAUGGAAUCUUUGGAAUUGCAACUUAGGGAGUUGUCGGUAUUGAAUAACGUUCAGCCGUUGCCGCCGAAAGGGUUUGCCGUCGAGUAUGUAAGACAAGGAAAAGUCGCAGAAUUAGUUGGAAAUUUACAGCAAAAUCCAUAUGCUGUACAAGAUGAUACUCUCUAUAAGAAAAUGGCUCCAUCUGUUCCACCAAAGCCGCCAAAGAAGCAUAAUGAGAUGCCUCAGGUAUGCAUUCACUACUGAUGAAAUCAAACUACACAUAUACCUCACUUUGCAGUUGCUUAUACAACCAUAUAGCCAACGACGCCAUGUCUGUAAACCAUAACCUUCAUAGGCAUCGUACAUAUCUAUGUAUAGGAACUUUUUUCCUCACUAGUUAUGGUCAACAAAAUACCAAUACAUAAUUACUGCUAACAUUUACAUACGUUAACAGUACAAUUUUCGCUCUGAGGGUUAAAUCUAAGGUCUUUGAGAACAUUGUUUUGGGCGUAAUAUUUUGAUGUUUGUCCUUAUUAUACCUUGCAAUCUGUUCUAACAUCGACAAGGCGCAGUUUUUCUAGUUUAUGGUUAGUAAAUAAUCCAUAUCGCGUUGCCAAUAGGUUUUGUCUGUCUGACCCAAGGUUAGGUUAACCCAGAAGACCCUCAGAGGGGCCCCGCAUAGGCCAGUAGGGCCCUUAGUUAUCCAUAUGGAGAUUUGUUUUUAUUCUUAGCAAAGGCAAGCUCCUUCGGCGUCCUCUUGUUGGCAUCUUUCACUGAAACCAGUACCGGGGCGCCGGUAUCUUCUUGCCCGACCUGUGAGUAAUCCCACUAACCUUCUGCAGUCCUACCAUGAUAGUUGCAGUAAGUAGUGGCUGAGUUUUUCAUUGCGAUCUUUGCUGUGGUUUUCGAAACUCCAAAUUGCUUUAAAGCGUUCUAAGGGAGACAGGCAAACCUGGGAAACCAAAAUAUCCGUACUAACCUUGUCGUGCUUAGGGUGUCUAGUACCUUCCUGCUUGCCAAGACUCUUCUGGAACUGACCUUGGCUACGUUUAAGUUCAAUUAUGAAGCUGAGGGUCGAUGAACAAACCUCCGUUAUAGUAAGUUAUAAGUUGCCUCUUGAUGUUCAACAUUUCCUCGACUUUGUGCUGACUAUUGCAGCCUAAUUAAUCGCCAUUCGUUACACUGCCCUCAGCCUAAUCUUGUUCGUCCCCAACAAGUCCAAGUCUCUCAGCCGUACUAUUUUGUAGGGUCAGUUGGCAGUUGGGGUCAGGGUCAGUUAGCCACUCCCUAAAUUCCUCGAAAUUUAACUAGAAUUUGUGGAAACUUUGUUUAUAAGACAUUUGGCAUUUUUAUACCCAAAAUGAGUAUAGGGUUAUGUUAGAUUAGUGGGGA
This 1534-nucleotide small RNA is filed under the name Drosophila pseudoobscura pseudoobscura. RNAcentral's name for it is "GA30989". Lineage: Eukaryota; Metazoa; Arthropoda; Insecta; Diptera; Drosophilidae. The record is from RNAcentral.